This 345-nucleotide long non-coding RNA is filed under the name Androctonus crassicauda. The record is from RNAcentral. Lineage: Eukaryota; Metazoa; Arthropoda; Arachnida; Scorpiones; Buthidae.
GAAAUUUAUCAAAUUAUAUGCAUAUAUUUUAUCAUCUCUUUUUUAAAUGAAUAUAUUUAAAUACAUUUUGACGGCUACGGAAAACGAAAUCCGGCAGCCAAUAAGAGAGAGUUUGGAAAAAACAUGGCGGUCAAGAUCGAAAUGUAAACAAAGCGAUUCAUUUAGGCGCUCGGCUAUCAUCAUAAAAACAUUAAAUAAUAUUGUGAUAAAUUUAAAGCAUGCAAGGAAGAAAUUUAUCCUAAAGGUUCAGAUUCUAAAUAUAAUUAGAACUACGGCUUCUUUACAAUAUCGGAGUCCCUAGAAUCAGCUGUUUGCAUUAGCCGGUGGCCAAAUAGCUACCACCUG